CCUCAAAAUUUUCAAUGAUGCUCAUGAAUCUGUGUUGGUGGUCCCUUGCUUUAAUUUUAUAAGACUUCCCAUAAUAAGUUGGUUUGAAGAAAAAAGGAAAAAUACACUAAUAUUAAACUAUAGUUGUACGAGCUUUACUAGUUAUACAAUACAAUUGUACUAGCCACACUAGUCAUAUUUGAUCUAAAGAUACAAUAUACAGUUGUACCAGUUAAACUAGUUAAACACAUUCUACUUGUAUUAGUUACACUAGUUAAACUCUUCUACUUGUAUUAGUUAUACAAGUUAAACUCUUCUAAUUGUACCGGUUAUACUAGUUAAAUUUGUUUUAGUUGUACUAGCUGAACACUUUUAGUUGAACUCAUUAUAAAUGUACUGGAAAUUCUUAUAGUUGUACCAAUUAUACUAGUUGAACUCAUUUUAGUUUUAUUACUUGCACUAGUUAUACCGAUCAUAUUUGAAGUAGUUAUACUAGUUACACACAUUGUAGUUCUAUUAGUUAUACAAGUCAUACUAUUACAACUUUCCCUUAGUUUUUUUAGUUGCAUUAAUCCUAGUUUCAUUACUUAAACUAGUUAUAUGGCUUCUAGUUGGACUAGUUGUCCACAUCCUAAUUGUGCUAGUUAAACAACUUAAAUUCCUCCUAUUUUACUAGUUGAAUAACUUAAACUCGUAGUUCUACUCGUUGUAUUCAAAAUAGUUCUACUAAUUCUACUACAACCACAAAAUGUCAUAGUACCCUAUUAUAACAAUCAAACCAUUUUCAAGAUUUUUACCGUCGUUUCGUCUUGUGUUUUAUCCUCUGCAUGAGGUGUGCUUGAGCUGGUAUACCCGGUUUCCUUUUUUUUCAAGUAGCUCCAGAGAAAGAAUUUCUGUCGAAUAUCCUAAAAGAAAAAUACGUUGAUGUGGCUGAUGUGACACAACACGGCAGACCGUCCCUAUAUUUCUUGCUCAUUGGGAGAUGUUGUGGAAUGCAUCAGUGGUGCCUCAGUUUCUCUUUCUUGGUCAUGGUUCAACUGACAAGUCCUCUUUUUUAGAAGUGACGACAAACCUCCAUCAUAUCCACCAUCUUAUCUCUCUUCGUCUUUCCAACGACUCCCUCUUCUUCGUUGAAAUUUCUUUAUUUUUCUUUGGAUCUCAAUGAUAAACUGUUAAGAUUUUGGAUUUUUUAUUUAAAAGAGACCAUGAAUGAAAAGGGUCAAAAAUAAUUGUGUGGUGUUGCGUUUGAUAUUUGAGGAUUUAUAUUAGAAACAAGGUCAAAUUUUGGGUCAGAAUAUGGACAUAACUGACUAUAUUUGUAAAUUACUAAAUUUUAGAGUUUAUGAUAUUUUACCUUUUUCCUGAUUCAAAUUUAAAUGUUCAAACAAAAAAUAAAAAUGCCUUUAUCGAAUGAUCUCAUGCCUUUGAAGACCAAACAAUGAAUAAGUAUUUAAAUAAUGAAAAAAUAUUCCUCGAGUCAAUCUUCCAUUUUCCAUUUGCACUCUAGGCCACAUUGUGCUUGAGGCACACAUUUGGCUUAUUCAAAGACAUAAUUUCCCUUCCUCUAGAAAAAUCAAUUUUCCAUACCAAACCACACCAAACAAUACUAAACCAAUUUAAACUAUCUAUCCAACGAAAGCUACGAAAUAUCUCGAAACUUAACCAUAAUCCCGCCUAUAACAAAAAAAGAGAUCCCCUUUUCCCACCGCAAAAAGGUGCAACCCUAAAAUCGCAAUCGAAAACAAAAUCGACUACAUCUACUUCUCUAAAACUCUACUUUCUAGCGAAUCCAUUCCUCUCCUUCUGAUUUCCUCUGUUAAGGCUAAGCGGAGAUCCCGUAGAUCCAGCGCAACCGACAUGCAAGGAACAAGAGGUAGAGUCAGGUUUUGUUGAACUCAGUGACUACUCUUCAGCAGAGGAUACUCCAAUGUAUCGACCAUCCGAUGAAGAAACCCACUUAGCCUCAAAACUCUUCUGCUGCCAUGAUAUCCCAUCACUUCACUCAUCACUCCCUUUCCCUAGCCCCAGUGGGACCUUUUCUUUGCUACUCUGUCAACACACAAGCAAGUGUAAGUCUUAUUAUGUUACAAAAAUUCUUUUGAAUCGUACAUAACCUAAUUCAUGUCAUUACAACAGCUUCCAUAUCACACCUUCAAAAUUCGAUUUCUCCAAAAACAUUCCUAUUUGAACUGGCAGAGCCCAAAAAAUGGACAACAACCUAUGUAAAUUCUCCUCAAGUCUCUAAAUCCCUGAUGUUUUUCGACUAAUAACAUGGGUACACCUUUUCUUUCGCAGCACAUGUAAAUACUCAUGCAUAUGCUAGCUGGAAGGUACAGUCCACUUCCACCAGCAUAAACUAGCUUUCACUACAUCUUAUCUAUCAUCAAAAAUACAAGCGAAAUUUAGGAGGUUUAGAGCGUGCAAAGACAAAUAUCGUUUCCAUUGGGAUAAGUGUUUGACUGAUGUGGUUCUCCAAAAAAAUGGAUGGAAGACGUCUUUACUGUCAACACUCCUAUGAUAUGGGAUGGCUCUCACUGGGUGGGUUUGGCCAUCAAUCUUGACAUGUGUUUGGUAUAAAUACUAAACCAUCUUUCCACGUUGUAUGUAGAUAGGAAAGUUGAGUGGUUCAUGGAGUCAGUCCUCAUAACACUCCCAUAUCUCGUCAAGAAGGUUGCUAAACACCAACAAACUCAGUUAUGCGGGCUUGAUCCUUUCAGUUGGUAUUGUGUUCCGGAUAUCUACUACAACGAAAGGACUGGCGAUUGUGGUCCGAUCAGUAUCAAGUCCUUCGAGAUGAACGCACAUGGGGACCUUGCACCCCCACAUGUUUGGGUUAACAGACGACCUAGUUGACGACAUCCAUAAACAAUACACCUUGGACGUCUACAAGACAAUUGUGCUCCUUGCUUACCAUUCACCACCUAGCUACUGAUAAUCCCAAAUCUAUCUGAUCCUUAUGUUUUUUUUUGGUUUUACUUUGUCUAAAUUUCACUUUUGUCGACAACAAUAUCUUGCUAUGGAAUGUUAUCAGGUCUUUUAGCUAAAUUUAAAACGCUUAAUGUGUAUUUUUGGAGUAGUAGUGACUAUUUUGUAGCUCACAGUCUACUUUGUUAUUUAUUCUAGAUUUUCAUCCACAUUCAAAACCUGCAGACAACAAGCACAUCCAAAAAUUAAACUACGAACAUCCACACCCACAUUUUUAAGCCAUUUUUAUAUUAUUUUUUACAUGCUAAAUUACUAGAAUGUUAUGGAAAAGUUGGGAUAUGACUAUAAUAACAUAUAUUUUUAAACAAUUACUAGAAUGUUUGUAGACCCCUAGUAAAUUACAAUUAAGACCCUUGGUUAGUUUUUUAAAUUGCGAUUAUUUUUAAACAAUAAAUUCAUGUCACUAAUUACUAUAUUUACGUCAUUAAUAACUGUAUUUAUUCUGAUCAAAAGAGAAUGAAGACAAUGAAUCGUCUUUCUAACUAAACUUCAUGUGUUGAAAAAAAACUCCACAAGUUUCAUCAUUCGCCGCUUAAACUCUAAUCUUUUGAGUCGAUAUUGUUGUUUAUCGUCCGAAAUUCUCUUCUCCGAUAACGUCUUCGCCGAAAUCGUCUUCUCCGCAAGCGUUUCUAUGAAAUUGUCUUCGCUGCAAUCGCCCGAAAUCAUCUUCUAUACUGAGUUUUUCGAGUGUGUGGCUGAGUUUUAAUUUAUGUUGUGGCUGACUU
RNA transcript from Brassica napus (rape), 3689 nucleotides. RefSeq lists it as uncharacterized. NCBI's taxonomy places the organism in Eukaryota, Viridiplantae, Streptophyta, Magnoliopsida, Brassicales, Brassicaceae. The record is from RefSeq and is a predicted model, not a curated record. The transcript is spliced from 2 exons.